UACGUAGGUGGCAAGCGUUGUCCGGAAUCAUUGGGCGUAAAGAGCGUGUAGGCGGCUCGAUAAGUCUGCUGUGAAAGUCCAGGGCUCAACCCUGGAAGGCCGGUGGAAACUGUCGGGCUAGAGUCCGGAAGAGGCGAGUGGAAUUCCCGGUGUAGCGGUGAAAUGCGCAGAUAUCGGGAGGAACACCAAUGGCGAAGGCAGCUCGCUGGGACGGUACUGACGCUGAGACGCGAAAGCGUGGGGAGCAAACAGG
RNAcentral lists this ribosomal RNA (253 nucleotides) under uncultured bacterium. RNAcentral describes it as "partial 16S ribosomal RNA". It matches the Rfam family "Bacterial small subunit ribosomal RNA", at positions 524 to 776 of the family's 1533-position model. The record is from RNAcentral.